GUACAUAAUGUUACUACCACUGGGGUUUGUUCCAAAAUCACAAUGCAGUGCAAACCUGUAACAUUAGCAGAGCUGAGCUCCUGGGGUCAUUUGUCAUGCAGGGUAACGUUACCCACUGGGUCUUAAAAUAAUUUAAAAACUCAUUGAAUUUAAUAUUCUCAAAAUAAGGCUCUUACAUAUAUUUACAAAGGUCUUCAUUUUUUUGUUGUCCUUUUCAUAUGAUUAUAUAGAUACAGGUAAUGUUACACAUAACUGUCAAAUGUAUAAAAUGUUUUGUGUGUUUUGACUACUUUUUACAUUUUGUCUGACUUCUGGUCAGCUCUGCUGUACUAGUAACUUCACCACUGAUCUGCAUACGGUGCUCUUUCAUCCUUAUUUUAGCAACUUUCACAGAUAACAUUCUGUUAAUAGUAUUUACUGUUCAAUCUUGGAAUAUACUUUCAAUGAUUUUCUCAAACACAGUGGCCAAACAGAUUAAUUGGAAAGGAGUAAAGGGAAAAGAAAUAUUUUAAAGAAAUGCUGACAAGAACUCCGUUGAUCAGUAAGUAUUUUAGUAUACGUAUUAUAUGUGGAGGUGACUAGUAGAUGAGAACGAAUGUUUAUGUAAAAUAAAAUAUUUAAAUAGUAUAUUUUAAGAUAUAAGGGAUGCAACUUAAAAGCCAAAAAAUAAAAAUAAAAAAAAUACUUUGAUAGCGGUGCUGAAAUAGACAUGACAGCACUGGUUACUACCAUAAUCACUUCCUCUUUGUAGGUUUGCUAGCAAAAUAAAAGCAUGAGAACAACAAGCAUGAGCUUGUUUGCUGUAAUGUUUUACUUGGAGUUGAAUUGAGAGCUUUUACUUUUCUGAAUGACAUUGACAUGUCUGAAUGACAUUAAAAAGAGUCUGUAGUCUGCUUGACACACCUCUGAAAGAGCUGUCAGUAAAACGAUUCCCCUAAAUGUCCUCUGCCUGGAGAUACUGGGGAAAUGUUGGUACCCGCCAAUGCCUAUCCAUGACCUGAUACAGAAUCCACACAGAUAAAUUUGUAAUGAUAAGAUGCACUGAGAUUUAAGGCAGAUCCAAUACAAUCCAGAUGUGAUUUGAUAAUUGUUCCGUUCAUAAUCAGUAUGAUUUUUUUAUAAUUAGUUAUUCAUGAAUGAAAUUCUAUUUGUUUUGAGUUACUAAAUUAAAUGCUAUAGAAAAUUAGGUCUACUGCCACACCAACAAUAGUAAACAUGGACAUUGAGCACUUUUUUCAACCCUCUAAAGCAUUUCUCAUUGGUUAUUAGCUUGGCUUAGAGGUAAUUUUCAGAAUGUCUGUUAAUGACAGCUCAUCAACCAAUUGACUUUCUCUCUUAACAGAGGCUCAACGGAAGAACCAAGCUGCUAGCAGCGCAUCGGACAACGAGAUUAACCCGCACGCCAUCCGCUGGUUCAACCUGGCCUCUGACUCUGGAGGUGGCCGCAACAAACGUGCCAUGGCCAGAGAGGCAUUAACCGUGUAGGCUGUGUGCCUGUGGAUUGAAGACCCGCCUACUUCCUGGUUUCUGGGGUGCUGACAUCAGUCCCGACCAUUGGUUCCCUCUGUUUCCACUCAACCAAUGGCUCGUCACCACGUUAAUUACGUCCGGCUCAUAAGGAGAGUCCACCUGUUGCUCCAGGCAGCUUGUCACCGCCUAUUGACUUGUGUGCCGCUGGUAUUGACUGCAUACCCUGCCUAAAUGAACACAUCUGCCAUCCCCCACUCUUCCACUACUGAUGAUUUGUUGGGUGUCGUGAGGGUUAUGGCAGUCCCACUUCUCCACUUGUCUCAUCAAUGUUUCCCGUAAAGCCACCAAACAAUGUGUAUGAACAUUUUACAGUUUUUUUUUUCUGGGUUUCACAUGACUAGUUGGAGUUGGAUAUUGUAUUUUGGCUAUAAAAUCUUUUUCUGUUUCUUAUACCAAUCUGUUAUUUAUACCAUGGUCAUGGAAAAUGGUUAAAAUCUAAAUGGCUGGCAGUAAUCAUCUAUCAAGACAAACUUAGCGCUUGUCGCUAAUUAAAACGUUAUCUUGUGUGUUUAGGCCGUAGAAUCUCGUGUGUCUCCUGGCUUUAGCUUUAUAUGUAGAGUAUGAUAUCAUGAGUGUGGUAUAUAUCUUCUCAUCGCUCUCAGGGAGAAAGAAAUCUUACUUUCUUACCAUCAUCAUUACUAAUGGUACACUACACUAUGCAAGACUGAUAGCAAUGUCAAUAUAUUGAGCUUUUUAACUAAGCCACACUGUUGCUAUUAUUAGAGUUUAAUACUUCUGCAUUCAUAUAAAAAUAACACCUGAGUCAUAGGUUUGUGGUUACUGUACAGUUACUAGAAACUAAUUGUCAACUGGAGUGAAGUUUCUUGUUCCUGCAGUUGUUAAAGACAGAAAUGAGCUGUAAAAUGUGUUUAUUAGAUUGAAUGUUAGUUUGGCAAUUAUCUACUUUGUUUUACGUUUCUGUCCUCAAACAUUUCAAAUAAAAUUUAAAAUGUGUCACUCA
Micropterus salmoides (largemouth bass) is the source of this 2491-nucleotide long non-coding RNA. RefSeq lists it as uncharacterized. The record is from RefSeq and is a predicted model, not a curated record. The transcript has 3 exons. Lineage: Eukaryota; Metazoa; Chordata; Actinopteri; Centrarchiformes; Centrarchidae.